Molecule: transfer RNA, 72 nt
Filed under: Sphingobacteriales bacterium
Lineage: Bacteria; Pseudomonadati; Bacteroidota; Sphingobacteriia; Sphingobacteriales
Description: tRNA-Arg
Rfam family: tRNA
About the family: Transfer RNA (tRNA) molecules are approximately 80 nucleotides in length. Their secondary structure includes four short double-helical elements and three loops (D, anti-codon, and T loops).
Source: RNAcentral
GGUCUCGUAGUUCAACGGAUAGAAUAAGAGUUUCCUAAACUUUCGAUCCGGGUUCGAUUCCCGGCGAGACCA